Molecule: non-coding RNA, 954 nt
Organism: Pelodiscus sinensis (Chinese soft-shelled turtle)
Lineage: Eukaryota; Metazoa; Chordata; Testudines; Trionychidae
Source: RefSeq, a predicted model, not a curated record
AGAUUGUGAUGUAAUGUCAAGAGUGUCUGGUAUUUUUGUUGAAACCAUCUGGCAACAACCGUACUUGGGUCCCCUAAUGCAAUGGUUUCCUAUCUCCAGCCUGCAGACAGGUGCCAGGCCGCAGCACACUGCCAGGCCACACCCGCACCUUGAUGAUUGGCUUGGCAGGAAUCUAAGUUCCCUGUAGGCUGCCAGAGGUUUGGGGCUGCAGAGCAGAGAGCUUCUGGCUGGGGAGGAGCACUCUCUCAGCAGGAGAAGUGCCCUAUUCCAGACAACAAGCAUGCUGGUAGGGAAGGGGACAAAAGGAAAAAAGAAGGAAGGAGUACCAAGAGCCAGACUGUCUCAACACAGCAGCCCUGGCUGGGCUGCAGACAUGACUCUCUGGACUGGGGCAGUAAAAUUUCAGGUCAUCAGCUGCAAGACUGCUGCAGCCCUCCAUGUGAUAUAGAGAACCUCAUCAAUGACAAGAGGAGAUAAGCACUAAAGUUUUAGAUGGCGAUCAAAUGUGAGAUCCAAUAUUAACCAUUAAAUUUAAAACCAAGGCACCAAUUAAGCAAAUAAGCACCUGAAUAGUCCUGUUGAAGUCACAUGCUUAAGUACCUGCGGGAACAGUACCGAAAAUUGUGACAAGUUAUAAAUUGACAUCAAAAUUUAGGGAUGUCAUAUGAUUUCUCUCAUACAAUUAAGUUUUAUUUUAAAAUAAUGUUUGUAUCAAAUCAAGAUAUAGCCAAAGGGGUUUUUAAUGUUCAUUUUGCAGUGAUUUGACAAGGUACAAGUUAAAGGAGGAAGGUUUGUUAACUCUGAUAAGCUAAUUACCUUAACAUUAAUAGUAUAGACAAUUAUUUACACUAAUGUUUGUAUUAAACGGCUACAAAAAAAAUCUGUGAAAUUUACUGUGUAAUCAUAGGUUUAUUUACUCAAGAGAUUAAAGCCUGAACCUGUUGCAAUGAUUAA